AUCAUGUUGAAACACAAGUUCUCAUUUGAUCACCAAAGUUAAGCAACAUUGAGCCUGGUCAGUACUCAGAUGGGUGACCACUGGGGAAUACCAUGUG
Molecule: ribosomal RNA, 97 nt
Filed under: Acanthosepion pharaonis
Lineage: Eukaryota; Metazoa; Mollusca; Cephalopoda; Sepiida; Sepiidae
Source: RNAcentral